Molecule: ribosomal RNA, 465 nt
Filed under: uncultured bacterium
Lineage: Bacteria
Description: partial 16S ribosomal RNA
Rfam family: Bacterial small subunit ribosomal RNA
Source: RNAcentral
UCUACGGGAGGCAGCAGUGGGGAAUAUUGCGCAAUGGGCGAAAGCCUGACGCAGCGACGCCGCGUGAGGGAUGAAGGUCUUCGGAUCGUAAACCUCUGUCAGCAGGGAAGAACGGUCACUGUGCUAAUCAGCAGUGAAUUGACGGUACCUGCAAAGGAAGCACCGGCUAACUCCGUGCCAGCAGCCGCGGUAAUACGGAGGGUGCGAGCGUUAAUCGGAAUUACUGGGCGUAAAGCGCUCGUAGGCGGUAUGUCAAGUCAAGGGUGAAAUCCCCGCGCUCAACGUGGGAAGUGCCUUUGAAACUGGCAAACUGGAGUGUGUGAGAGGAUAGUGGAAUUCCAGGUGUAGGAGUGAAAUCCGUAGAUAUCUGGAGGAACAUCAGUGGCGAAGGCGACUAUCUGGCACAUAACUGACGCUGAGGAGCGAAAGCGUGGGUAGCAAACAGGAUUAGAUACCCCAGUAGUC